Non-coding RNA from Myotis lucifugus (little brown bat), 74 nucleotides. Lineage: Eukaryota; Metazoa; Chordata; Mammalia; Chiroptera; Vespertilionidae. The record is from Rfam.
UGUGUGUGGGGGGCGUCCCUCAGCCUGGAUUGCGAGAAGGUGCAGGCCAGGCUGAAGGACCCCACUGUUGCAUG